RNAcentral lists this ribosomal RNA (479 nucleotides) under uncultured bacterium. Its description in RNAcentral is "partial 16S ribosomal RNA". It matches the Rfam family "Bacterial small subunit ribosomal RNA", at positions 28 to 507 of the family's 1533-position model. The record is from RNAcentral.
GAUGAACGCUGGCGGCGUGCUUAACACAUGCAAGUCGAACGAAGCACUUAUCUUUGAUUCUUCGGAUGAAGAGGUUUGUGACUGAGUGGCGGACGGGUGAGUAACGCGUGGGUAACCUGCCUCAUACAGGGGGAUAACAGUUAGAAAUGACUGCUAAUACCGCAUAAGACCACGGAGCCGCAUGGCUCAGUGGGAAAAACUCCGGUGGUAUGAGAUGGACCCGCGUCUGAUUAGGUAGUUGGUGGGGUAACGGCCUACCAAGCCAACGAUCAGUAGCCGACCUGAGAGGGUGAUCGGCCACAUUGGGACUGAGACACGGCCCAAACUCCUACGGGAGGCAGCAGUGGGGAAUAUUGCACAAUGGGGGAAACCCUGAUGCAGCGACGCCGCGUGAGCGAAGAAGUAUUUCGGUAUGUAAAGCUCUAUCAGCAGGGAAGAAAAUGACGGUACCUGACUAAGAAGCACCGGCUAAAUACGUG